RNAcentral lists this ribosomal RNA (755 nucleotides) under Kocuria sp. ET1s3.2.1. RNAcentral's name for it is "bacterial SSU rRNA". It matches the Rfam family "Bacterial small subunit ribosomal RNA", at positions 62 to 823 of the family's 1533-position model. The record is from RNAcentral. Lineage: Bacteria; Bacillati; Actinomycetota; Actinomycetes; Micrococcales; Micrococcaceae.
UCGACGCUGAAGCUUAGGUGCUUGCACUGGGUGGAUGAGUGGCGAACGGGUGAGUAAUACGUGAGUAACCUGCCCUUGACUCUGGGAUAAGCCUGGGAAACUGGGUCUAAUACUGGAUAUGACCUCCUGUCGCAUGGUGGGGGGUGGAAAGGGUUUGUACUGGUUGUGGAUGGGCUCACGGCCUAUCAGCUUGUUGGUGGGGUAAUGGCCUACCAAGGCGACGACGGGUAGCCGGCCUGAGAGGGUGACCGGCCACACUGGGACUGAGACACGGCCCAGACUCCUACGGGAGGCAGCAGUGGGGAAUAUUGCACAAUGGGCGCAAGCCUGAUGCAGCGACGCCGCGUGAGGGAUGACGGCCUUCGGGUUGUAAACCUCUUUCAGCACGGAAGAAGCGAAAGUGACGGUACGUGCAGAAGAAGCGCCGGCUAACUACGUGCCAGCAGCCGCGGUAAUACGUAGGGCGCAAGCGUUGUCCGGAAUUAUUGGGCGUAAAGAGCUCGUAGGCGGUUUGUCGCGUCUGCUGUGAAAGCCCGGGGCUUAACCCCGGGUGUGCAGUGGGUACGGGCAGACUUGAGUGCAGUAGGGGAGACUGGAACUCCUGGUGUAGCGGUGAAAUGCGCAGAUAUCAGGAAGAACACCGAUGGCGAAGGCAGGUCUCUGGGCUGUUACUGACGCUGAGGAGCGAAAGCAUGGGGAGCGAACAGGAUUAGAUACCCUGGUAGUCCAUGCCGUAAACGUUGGGCACUAGGUGU